AACCCUCAAACCUGUCUCACUCUCCUCUCUCAAAGCUUAGAGACUGGAACCCUAGCCGCCCUGUUUUACUCCACCAUCUCCGCCGUGGUCCGCCGACCAGAAAUCACCUCAUGGCGGCGGACCACCUCCAAUCACCUCCAAAUUACACCACAUAAUCUAUUUGCCCUCCUCUUUUCGAAUCUCUCAACUAUUUUUCUAAAACCCUUAUCAAAUCCCUCGAAUCUUAGAUCUAAGAUUGAUACCCAAAACCCUAGUUCGCCCAAACCACCCUAAAACCUCACCAAGCCAUCUCUCCACUCCCUUCACCCCUAAUAUCCUGUUGUUUUUGCCCAAAAGGCCUCUUAAACUUGAGCAAUUUCAAAUCAAAAAGCUGGAAAGAGGGGAAAAGGAAAGAAAACCUAAAAGCCUCUACUGAAGUUCAAAUGGUUCAUACCUACACGAGUCAUUUUCUCUCAACAUGAGCAAUUGAUUCAUGUAGGUUUGAUUCAUUUUCAAACCUGCCCUAACCAUGUCCAAGCUCCGGUCAGGUUCUCCGAGUCCAACUGGUAUAGGUAAUUUCUUGUUUGGCUUCUUUUCUUGACCAUUUUUCUUUUCUUUGAUUGAUUUCUUCGUGUGGUUGUUCUGUUUGUAGUUGCAUGAUAUAAGAUUUUUAUUUUUUUUUAGGAUUGUUUGUUUACUUAUGUGUUUAAUCAUUAAGGUUAGUCAGUAGUUUUAGGGUGAUUUGUGCAUAUUUUUCAAUUACUAGUUGGUCAGUUUUGUUGCGGCUAGGGUUGUCUAAAUUGGUUUAGCUUGUGUCUAGUCGAGUUUAUUUUAGAAUCAGCAUGUUAGUUUCUUGUUGCGAUUCAAUUCCCUGUUAAUGCCAAUAUUAAUUGGUUCAGUAGGUUCAAAUCUUAGAAAUGUCUCGUUUAUUGGUCAAUUCAUGCUAAUGUUAGGUUCAAAUGUUUAAGUAUUGUGUCAUUUCUGAUUUCAGCUUAAUGAUAAAUUUAUUUAGGUUUUAGAGUUAAGUUGGGGUCUAAUUGCAUGAACGUUUUGGUCCUUUCAAUCUGCGAUUUGUGUCAAUCUUGGUCUUUGUUUUGUUAGUUCUGAUUUGUGAACAAAGUGAAGUUUAGGGGUUCAAUAGAACAAAUAAAAAACUUAAGGGGUCUGGGAAGGGUAUGAAACAACUUUUUAGAUAAGGCUGGUACAAGAAGUUUCUAGAACCUGGGGCAGCUGUCCCCAAUUGGUUAGCACAAAAAUGCUGAGUCAAUAAGGGAUAGCCAGCUGUCCCAGGUGGUUAAAAAAUAUGCAUUUUUAGGCUGAGGGAAUAUUUCCCUGAUUUGGUUUUCAGCACAUGGUCUCUUAGGCCUAUAAUUAGUACUCUCCCCUCACUCAUUAGGGGACGGAUUUUAGAGAAAGAUUUGGCAUUCUGAAAAAGACCUUUAAAAUACAACAAAAGUUCUUUGCAUUCCUUUCGUUAAGAAUUUGGCUCGAAUUGCCUUUCUGAUUUUUCCAAAAAAAACUUUCAUAAGGAUUUCUGGUGUUCCAAAUUGAAAAUGGCUGGUUAUUGAAGCUGUUUGUUCUGAUCAUCAUUACUGUUAUUUUGCUGCUGGCUUUCUGUUGAUGUUCAUUUAGCUAAAUUUCAGGGUUUUUCUUUUCCCUUAUUGUUGUAUCCAGGUACUUUCACAGCUCUUGAAAUGCAAAAUAUGAAGAUACAGUAUGCUGAUUGGAAGUGAAAACUUCAGAUCUAUUUCUUGUUUAGUGUCUUUCCUUGUUUUUCUUCCUUUAUUUGGUAGUUUUCCUUCCAUUUGUUUAAGUUGUUUUCCUUCUCGGUAAAUUUGAUGUCUAUUUCUAUUCAAUCAAUCAUAGGUUGAAAGUUAGAGUUGGUUUAGUAUUUCAUGUGUGUUUGAAUAGCUUUGUUACUGUUUGAAAACUGUAAUAUUUGGGGACUGUGUGGGACUUAUGAUAGUAUGUGAUUUGUGCACACUGGUAUGGAUAAAUGCCUUCAACUAAGUUUUGAUAAGUGUCAAAGUUAUUUGAGGCCAG
RNAcentral lists this long non-coding RNA (2022 nucleotides) under Nicotiana tabacum (common tobacco). RNAcentral's name for it is "long non-coding RNA (NTAB_LNC012535)". The record is from RNAcentral. Lineage: Eukaryota; Viridiplantae; Streptophyta; Magnoliopsida; Solanales; Solanaceae.